AAAUUAUUAUGCAAAUUGGAAUUAAAUGUCAUAAACAUUAAAUAUUUAGUUUUCCAAUCAAACUCAUCGAUGGUAUUGGGCUCUUUGGAUCGCUGAAAUCUAUCUCAGACACCAGUGAUCAUUAGUUUGCCAGGUGAGCCCAAUUAAAAACACACUACUUAAGAAGGAUGUUCCACAUUAUUAAGCAGGCCACAGGUUUCAAGCAAUAUGGGAAAGAAAAAGGAUCUCUCUGUUGCAGAAAAGCAUUAAAUAGUGCAAUGAAAAUGCUGGCCAACAACCUGGGCAAGGAAUUCUACUACUCUGGUCCAAAGACAUUGUGAACCCCUUCUGGUGGUGCUGUAAGCAAGCUGAAACCUAUAAACAGUUUCUGGUCUGAAGACAACCACGCAGAUAAAGAGCAGGGCUAAUCUAAUUAAAGAUGUUUAGGAACUUUUCAACACCGAAUUUAGUAUGUUUACAUGCUCCUCACAGUGGC
Esox lucius (northern pike) is the source of this 475-nucleotide long non-coding RNA. The record is from Ensembl. Lineage: Eukaryota; Metazoa; Chordata; Actinopteri; Esociformes; Esocidae.